GCUCCCUUAGCUCAGCUGGUUAGAGCACCAGACUCUUAAUCUGGGUGUCCUGGGUUCGAGUCCCAGAGGGAGUACCA
This 77-nucleotide transfer RNA is filed under the name Acholeplasmataceae bacterium. Its description in RNAcentral is "tRNA-Lys". It matches the Rfam family "tRNA". Rfam says of the family: Transfer RNA (tRNA) molecules are approximately 80 nucleotides in length. Their secondary structure includes four short double-helical elements and three loops (D, anti-codon, and T loops). Further hydrogen bonds mediate the characteristic L-shaped molecular structure. tRNAs have two regions of fundamental functional importance: the anti-codon, which is responsible for specific mRNA codon recognition, and the 3' end, to which the tRNAs corresponding amino acid is attached (by aminoacyl-tRNA synthetases). tRNAs cope with the degeneracy of the genetic code in two manners: having more than one tRNA (with a specific anti-codon) for a particular amino acid; and 'wobble' base-pairing, i.e. permitting non-standard base-pairing at the 3rd anti-codon position. Lineage: Bacteria; Bacillati; Mycoplasmatota; Mollicutes; Acholeplasmatales; Acholeplasmataceae. The record is from RNAcentral.